CUCCACAGCAAUAAACUCACAGUAAUGUGCAGUGUGAGUGUAUCACAGAGCUCCACAGUAAUAAUACUCCCAGUAAUGUGCAGUAUGAGUGUAUCACAGAGCUCCACAGCAAUAAACUCACAGUAAUAUGCAGUGUGUGAGUGUAUCACAGAGCUCCACAGCAAUAAAACCACAGUAAUGUGCAGGGUGUAUGAUGGUAUCACAGAGCUCCACAGUAAAACUCACAGUAAUGUGCAGUGUGUAAGAGGGUAUCACAGAGCUCCACAGUAAUAAUACUCCCAGUAAUGUGCAGUGUGAGUGUAUCACAGAGCUCCACAGCAAUAAACUCACAGUAAUGUGCAGUGUGAGUGUAUCACAGAGCUCCACAGUAAUAAUACUCCCAGUAAUGUGCAGUAUGAGUGUAUCACAGAGCUCCACAGCAAUAAACUCACAGUAAU
Pelobates cultripes (western spadefoot toad) is the source of this 437-nucleotide non-coding RNA. The record is from the annotation of a GenBank genome assembly. Lineage: Eukaryota; Metazoa; Chordata; Amphibia; Anura; Pelobatidae.